AUUGAACGCUGGCGGAAUGCUUUACACAUGCAAGUCGAACGGCAGCACGGACUUCGGUCUGGUGGCGAGUGGCGAACGGGUGAGUAAUAUAUCGGAACGUGCCCAGUCGUGGGGGAUAACGUAGUGAAAAUUACGCUAAUACCGCAUACGAUCUAUGGAUGAAAGCGGGGGAUCGCAAGACCUCGCGCGAUUGGAGCGGCCGAUAUCAGAUUAGGUAGUUGGUGAGGUAAAGGCUCACCAAGCCGACGAUCUGUAGCUGGUCUGAGAGGACGACCAGCCACACUGGAACUGAGACACGGUCCAGACUCCUACGGGAGGCAGCAGUGGGGAAUUUUGGACAAUGGGCGCAAGCCUGAUCCAGCAAUGCCGCGUGCAGGAAGAAGGCCUUCGGUUGUAACUGCUUUGUACGGAACGAAAAGUACUGGGUUAAUACCCUGUGUGGAUGACGGUACCAGCACAAGAAGCACCGGCUAACUACGUGCCAG
Molecule: ribosomal RNA, 485 nt
Filed under: uncultured bacterium
Lineage: Bacteria
Description: bacterial SSU rRNA
Rfam family: Bacterial small subunit ribosomal RNA
Source: RNAcentral